Long non-coding RNA from Scylla paramamosain (green mud crab), 2294 nucleotides. RefSeq lists it as uncharacterized. The transcript has 7 exons. Lineage: Eukaryota; Metazoa; Arthropoda; Malacostraca; Decapoda; Portunidae. The record is from RefSeq and is a predicted model, not a curated record.
AUUUAGAGCAUGAUGAACCCAGCCGUUAGCAGGAAGGCGGCACAACAACGUCAGCGGCGCACCUACAGAGUGAGAAGAGAUAUUUUCGCUGAGUACGACGAUGCUGAGUUACUGAAAAGAUUCAGAUUGGACCGUGCUGGUAUUGUUGCAGUGACUGAUAUAGUGAGAGACAAGCUGCAAAGUAAAACUGAAAGAAAUAGAGCCUUGACCCCUGAGAUGGUGGCCAUCACAUUACGAUAUUUAGCCACAGGAAAAAUGCAACAGUGCAGUUGUGAUGAUUUUGGAACAACGCAGCCCACUAUCAGCCGUGCAAUAUCACAGACAAUUGAUGCACUGGCUGACCCAGAAGUAAUCUGCCAGUUCGUGGCUUUCCCUCACACCCAGCGUGAAGUGCAGCAAAAACAGGCAGAGUUCAUGCAAGUAACUCAGUUUCCCGGUGUUGUGGGAGUGAUUGAUGGCACUCAUAUAAGAAUUGUGUCUCCUCAUGUCGAUGAACAUGUAUAUGUGAACAGGAAACGCUAUCACAGCAUAAAUGUGCAAGUAGUAUUUGAUGCUCACUAUAAGAUUCUUGACAUUGUGGCAAGGUGGCCUGGCUCAGUCAACGAUGCAAGAAUACUAGAUAAGUCAGCACUCAAACUGAUGUUUGAGGAACAACAUGUACCUGCAGGAUGCUACCUUCCCGGGGACAGUGGCUAUCCCUGUAAGCAGUGGCUCCUCACUCCUUACCUUCGCCCUCAAACUGUUGCACAAGCUAAUUAUAACAGUUCCAGUACCUUACGAUGCAGCCGAGGGGACUGACGCCACCACCACCACUGCCACCACCGCCACAACAAGGGUUAUUCGAGUGGGGAACAUGCUUCAGGUGUUGCCCCAAGAUGCCUCAGCCCCGCAGCCCCACUUCCCCAUGAUAGUGCAGGCAGGGAAUGUCAUACAGGUUGUUCCAGCUGACAACACGCAGGUAUUAGGGGCAGAAGUCGUUGGAGUUGGUCGGGUCAUGCAAGUGGUCGGAGUCCCAGGCUUUCCCCCGACCCCAGCCCCAGACCCCUGCCCCAGCCACCCCUCUCCCUGUGACCCCUGCCCAGUCAUCCCUCACCCCCUCCUGCCCCCCUGCGGUGCUGCCAGCGGGGGUGAUGGGAGGUGGAGGUGGGCCACACACACCUGGGUUAGCUGUGGCUUGGCUUAUCUCCCUCCUCAGCAGCAAAUCCCGAGGAUCAACGAGGACAUGGUGGACCCAGAGAUUGCAGCAGCAGCGAGAGAGAGAGAGAGAAGCAAGAGAGGAGGGAGAGGAAGGAGAGGAGGAGGAGAGAGAGGGAGGCCAGGAGGGAGGCACGUCAGAGAGAGAGGGAGAGGAAGAGGUUGAUUCUGUUACAACAACAACUGCAACAACAACAACAGUUAGUCAGUGAGGAGGGGGAGGGGCCGUCCUCUGAUGCUGAGGAUGAGGUAUUGUUCAGGGAGGCCAUGUCGGAGGUGCCGGUGGUGGGGUCGCCAGUUCCGGAGUACGAGGUGGAGGAGGAAAAGGAAGAGGAGGACGAGGAGGAGGCACGGAUAAGGAAGAAGAAAAGAUUAUUAGCUGUAGCCCUCCCUCCAGCUGAUAAGGGGAUAUUAAGGAGCCCUUCCUACAGGUUCGUUCGAUGCAAGGAGUUGGCACAGGAGGCGUCCGAGGCUGUGUAGAGCGGCCGUCUGAACCUGGUGCCACAGCUUACUAUGUUCAACAGAUGCCUGAAGGAAGUGUGUGUAAGGGAGGAUAAAGAGAUCAUGCUGGCCUAUGCAGACGAUGUCGCUGUCGUGACAGGAAGCCAACAAGAUCUUCAAGAGGCCAUGACAAGAUGGAAUGAUGUUUUAAAUAGGGAAGGAAUGAGAAUGAACAAACAAAAAACUUAUUUACUAGUGGACAAGCAACAAGUGAUGGUGUGGCUCUGAGCCACUGUAGUAGGGAUGUUAUGGUUUAAGUGUAGGAAGUUGCAAAUGCUCACCUAACAAUUGCACCUUAGUAGAAAAACACAAACAGGAAGUUUAUGCAAGUUUUUAUCCUUAUAUAAAAUGUUGUAUUGCAUCAAACCUCCAUACAUUACUGUCUCUAUCCAGUAUGAGACCGGUGUUCAGGAAGCACAAGCAUGUGCUGAAUAACAAGAAGCCGGCAUUGGUGAAGGUGACAACAUUUCAUCUAUUUAUACAUACUUUUUAUUAUUAAAGCUUAUCUUAUAAUUAUUUCUGAAGAGAUUGACUAAUUUUUGUAGUAUUUAUGACUUAGAACUAUGAUAAAGCUAUGAAUUGAUAUAAUUCCUGAUUUG